Molecule: small nuclear RNA, 107 nt
Organism: Molossus molossus (Pallas's mastiff bat)
Lineage: Eukaryota; Metazoa; Chordata; Mammalia; Chiroptera; Molossidae
Source: RefSeq, a predicted model, not a curated record
GUGCUCACCUCAGCAGCACAUAUACUAAAACAGAACUGAUAAUGAAAAAAUUAGCAUGGUCCUUGUGCAAAGAUGGCACACAGAUUCAUGAAGCAUUCUCUAUCUAU